UUAAAUUGAAGAGUUUGAUCAUGGCUCAGAUUGAACGCUGGCGGCAGGCCUAACACAUGCAAGUCGAACGGUAACAGGAAGCAGCUUGCUGCUUCGCUGACGAGUGGCGGACGGGUGAGUAAUGUCUGGGAAACUGCCUGAUGGAGGGGGAUAACUACUGGAAACGGUGGCUAAUACCGCAUAACGUCGCAAGACCAAAGAGGGGGACCUUCGGGCCUCUUGCCAUCAGAUGUGCCCAGAUGGGAUUAGCUUGUUGGUGAGGUAACGGCUCACCAAGGCGACGAUCCCUAGCUGGUCUGAGAGGAUGACCAGCCACACUGGAACUGAGACACGGUCCAGACUCCUACGGGAGGCAGCAGUGGGGAAUAUUGCACAAUGGGCGCAAGCCUGAUGCAGCCAUGCCGCGUGUAUGAAGAAGGCCUUCGGGUUGUAAAGUACUUUCAGCGGGGAGGAAGGUGUUGUGGUUAAUAACCACAGCAAUUGACGUUACCCGCAGAAGAAGCACCGGCUAACUCCGUGCCAGCAGCCGCGGUAAUACGGAGGGUGCAAGCGUUAAUCGGAAUUACUGGGCGUAAAGCGCACGCAGGCGGUCUGUCAAGUCGGAUGUGAAAUCCCCGGGCUCAACCUGGGAACUGCAUUCGAAACUGGCAGGCUUGAGUCUUGUAGAGGGGGGUAGAAUUCCAGGUGUAGCGGUGAAAUGCGUAGAGAUCUGGAGGAAUACCGGUGGCGAAGGCGGCCCCCUGGACAAAGACUGACGCUCAGGUGCGAAAGCGUGGGGAGCAAACAGGAUUAGAUACCCUGGUAGUCCACGCCGUAAACGAUGUCUACUUGGAGGUUGUGCCCUUGAGGCGUGGCUUCCGGAGCUAACGCGUUAAGUAGACCGCCUGGGGAGUACGGCCGCAAGGUUAAAACUCAAAUGAAUUGACGGGGGCCCGCACAAGCGGUGGAGCAUGUGGUUUAAUUCGAUGCAACGCGAAGAACCUUACCUGGUCUUGACAUCCACGGAACUUUCCAGAGAUGGAUUGGUGCCUUCGGGAACCGUGAGACAGGUGCUGCAUGGCUGUCGUCAGCUCGUGUUGUGAAAUGUUGGGUUAAGUCCCGCAACGAGCGCAACCCUUAUCCUUUGUUGCCAGCGGUCCGGCCGGGAACUCAAAGGAGACUGCCAGUGAUAAACUGGAGGAAGGUGGGGAUGACGUCAAGUCAUCAUGGCCCUUACGACCAGGGCUACACACGUGCUACAAUGGCGCAUACAAAGAGAAGCGACCUCGCGAGAGCAAGCGGACCUCAUAAAGUGCGUCGUAGUCCGGAUUGGAGUCUGCAACUCGACUCCAUGAAGUCGGAAUCGCUAGUAAUCGUGGAUCAGAAUGCCACGGUGAAUACGUUCCCGGGCCUUGUACACACCGCCCGUCACACCAUGGGAGUGGGUUGCAAAAGAAGUAGGUAGCUUAACCUUCGGGAGGGCGCUUACCACUUUGUGAUUCAUGACUGGGGUGAAGUCGUAACAAGGUAACCGUAGGGGAACCUGCGGUUGGAUCACCUCCUUACCUGAAAGAAGC
RNAcentral lists this ribosomal RNA (1556 nucleotides) under Salmonella enterica subsp. enterica serovar Montevideo str. CDC 08-1942. RNAcentral's name for it is "bacterial SSU rRNA". It matches the Rfam family "Bacterial small subunit ribosomal RNA". The record is from RNAcentral. RNAcentral also lists the same sequence under 1 other name. Lineage: Bacteria; Pseudomonadati; Pseudomonadota; Gammaproteobacteria; Enterobacterales; Enterobacteriaceae.